GUAGAGGUUUGACGGUACCGUACGAAUAAGCAUCGGCUAACUCCGUGCCAGCAGCCGCGGUAAUACGGAGGAUGCAAGCGUUAUCCGGAUUUAUUGGGUUUAAAGGGUACGUAGGCGGGAGCUUAAGUCAGUGGUGAAAUCCUGCAGCUUAACUGUAGAACUGUCAUUGAUACUGGGCUUCUUGAAUGUAGUUGAGGUAGGCGGAAUGUGUAAUGUAGCGGUGAAAUGCUUAGAUAUUACACAGAACACCGAUUGCGAAGGCAGCUUACUAAACUACGAUUGACGCUGAGGUACGAAAGCGUGGGGAGCGAACAGGAUUAGAUACCCUGGUAGUCCACGCUGUAAACGAUGAUCACUCGUUGUUGGCAAUACACCGUCAGCGACUGAGCGAAAGCAUUAAGUGAUCCACCUGGGGAGUACGACCGCAAGGUUGAAACUCAAAGGAAUUGACGGGGGCCCGCACAAGCGGAGGAACAUGUGGUUUAAUUCGAUGAUACGCGAGGAACCUUACCUGGGCUUAAAUGUAGAACGACGGACCGGGAAACUGGUCUUUCUUCGGGCGGUCUGCAAGGUGCUGCAUGGCUGUCGUCAGCUCGUGCCGUGAGGUGUCGGGUUAAGUCCCAUAACGAGCGCAACCCUCAUCAUUAGUUGCCAGCGGGUAAUGCCGGGGACUCUAAUGAAACUGCCGGUGUAAACCGAGAGGAAGGUGGGGAUGACGUCAAGUCAGCACGGCCCUUAUGUCCAGGGCUACACACGUGUUACAAUGGUCGGUACAAAGGGCAGCUACCUGGCGACAGGAUGCUAAUCUCGAAAACCGAUCUCAGUUCGGAUCGAAGUCUGCAACUCGACUUCG
RNAcentral lists this ribosomal RNA (853 nucleotides) under uncultured organism. Its description in RNAcentral is "bacterial SSU rRNA". It matches the Rfam family "Bacterial small subunit ribosomal RNA", at positions 461 to 1320 of the family's 1533-position model. The record is from RNAcentral.